RNAcentral lists this ribosomal RNA (498 nucleotides) under uncultured bacterium. Its description in RNAcentral is "bacterial SSU rRNA". It matches the Rfam family "Bacterial small subunit ribosomal RNA", at positions 8 to 507 of the family's 1533-position model. The record is from RNAcentral.
AGAGUUUGAUCAUGGCUCAGGAUGAACGCUAGCGGGAGGCCUAACACAUGCAAGCCGAGCGGUAGAGAUUCUUCGGAAUCUUGAGAGCGGCGUACGGGUGCGGAACACGUGUGCAACCUACCUUUAUCUGGAGGAUAGCCUUUCGAAAGGAAGAUUAAUACUCCAUAAUAUAUUUGAUGGCAUCAUUAAAUAUUGAAAGCUCCGGCGGAUAGAGAUGGGCACGCGCAAGAUUAGCUAGUUGGUGAGGUAACGGCUCACCAAGGCAAUGAUCUUUAGGGGCCUGAGAGGGUGAUCCCCCACACUGGUACUGAGACACGGACCAGACUCCUACGGGAGGCAGCAGUGAGGAAUAUUGGUCAAUGGGUGCAAGCCUGAACCAGCCAUCCCGCGUGAAGGACGACUGCCCUAUGGGUUGUAAACUUCUUUUGUAUAGGGAUAAACCUACUCUCGUGAGAGUAGCUGAAGGUACUAUACGAAUAAGCACCGGCUAACUCCGUG